Danio aesculapii is the source of this 424-nucleotide long non-coding RNA. RefSeq lists it as uncharacterized. The record is from RefSeq and is a predicted model, not a curated record. Lineage: Eukaryota; Metazoa; Chordata; Actinopteri; Cypriniformes; Danionidae. The transcript is spliced from 3 exons.
UUUGCCUAAAGGGAAGAGAAGCUGGAAAAAAACGGGAGCCAGAGCAGAAGUGAAUAUUAAGGUUAUAAUUAUUCAGAAAACGAAUUAUAUUCCUUAAGUUGAACCACAUUAAAGAUGAGAUGACAUUUGUUGUAAAACAAAAAUAUCUGGUGGAUUACAGUGGAUAAAAAAAAGACAAAAAACCAGUCUGGCUAUCUGCAAUAGCAGUGGAUGUUACCUAACAGACUGGUUUUUUUUGAGGCUUCUUCUGAUCCUGGAUUCCUGGUGUUCCUCCAACUGAAGGUGGAUUCCUCUCUGUUCGCCUUGGUGCCUGGUUCUCUGGUCUAUCCUUCAACUAACAGCGCUGCAACGGUUCCUUUUGGAGUUUGAUAUGGACGCUAAGUAUUGAAGGGGUGGUUAGACAGUUAAAAUAUUUGAGUGCACU